RNAcentral lists this ribosomal RNA (449 nucleotides) under uncultured bacterium. RNAcentral's name for it is "bacterial SSU rRNA". It matches the Rfam family "Bacterial small subunit ribosomal RNA", at positions 330 to 795 of the family's 1533-position model. The record is from RNAcentral.
GCCAGACUCCUACGGGAGGCAGCAGUGGGGGAUAUUGCACAAUGGGGGAAACCCUGAUGCAGCGACGCCGCGUGAGUGAAGAAGUAUUUCGGUAUGUAAAGCUCUAUCAGCAGGGAAGAAAAAAGACGGUACCUGACUAAGAAGCCCCGGCUAACUACGUGCCAGCAGCCGCGGUAAUACGUAGGGGGCAAGCGUUAUCCGGAUUUACUGGGUGUAAAGGGAGCGUAGACGGCAAUACAAGUCGGAAGUGAAAUACCCGGGCUUAACCUGGGAACUGCUUUGGAAACUGUAUGGCUGGAGUGCUGGGGAGGUAAGCGGAAUUCCUAGUGUAGCGGUGAAAUGCGUAGAUAUUAGGAGGAACACCAGUGGCGAAGGCGGCUUACUGGACAGUAACUGACGUUGAGGCUCGAAAGCGUGGGGAGCAAACAGGAUUAGAUACCCUAGUACUC